RNAcentral lists this transfer RNA (99 nucleotides) under Streptomyces brasiliensis. RNAcentral's name for it is "tRNA-Arg". The record is from RNAcentral. Lineage: Bacteria; Bacillati; Actinomycetota; Actinomycetes; Kitasatosporales; Streptomycetaceae.
GCCGCCGCGCGCCUGGCGCGGCAGGGCCGGGCCGCCUCGCGGCGGCGCCGGACGGUGAUGGCCGCCGGCGCCGCGGGGGUCGCCUCCCUGGCCGCCGUG